UGGGGAAUUUUGGACAAUGGGGGGAAACCCUGAUCCAGCCAUCCCGCGUGUGCGAUGAAGGCCUUCGGGUUGUAAAGCACUUUUGGCAGGAAAGAAACGUCGCGGGUUAAUACCCCGCGAAACUGACGGUACCUGCAGAAUAAGCACCGGCUAACUACGUGCCAGCAGCCGCGGUAAUACGUAGGGUGCAAGCGUUAAUCGGAAUUACUGGGCGUAAAGCGUGCGCAGGCGGUUCGGAAAGAAAGAUGUGAAAUCCCAGAGCUUAACUUUGGAACUGCAUUUUUAACUACCGGGCUAGAGUGUGUCAGAGGGAGGUGGAAUUCCGCGUGUAGCAGUGAAAUGCGUAGAUAUGCGGAGGAACACCGAUGGCGAAGGCAGCCUCCUGGGAUAACACUGACGCUCAUGCACGAAAGCGUGGGGAGCAAACAGGAUUAGAUACCCUGGGUAGUCCACGCCCUAAACGAUGUCAACUAGCUGUUGGGGCCUUCGGGCCUUGGUAGCGCAGCUAACGCGUGAAGUUGACCGCCUGGGGAGUACGGUC
This 541-nucleotide ribosomal RNA is filed under the name uncultured bacterium. RNAcentral describes it as "partial 16S ribosomal RNA". It matches the Rfam family "Bacterial small subunit ribosomal RNA", at positions 355 to 887 of the family's 1533-position model. The record is from RNAcentral.